Molecule: long non-coding RNA, 984 nt
Organism: Gadus morhua (Atlantic cod)
Lineage: Eukaryota; Metazoa; Chordata; Actinopteri; Gadiformes; Gadidae
Exons: 3
Source: RefSeq, a predicted model, not a curated record
UAUAACAGAUUGUUGAACUUCGUCUGUUACAGAAAGUAGCAAGCAUGUUUGCUGCAAGCAGUCAUGUUGUCGCUACUUGGAGUCCCCCAUCAUCGUUGAACCCCAUGCUUCAUUUGCCGGCAAAUGCAACUAGUCUGCAGUGGAUAGUUCUUCCGGUCUGGUUACCUGGACACUGGAACCUUUGUGUAAGAACAUUCAGUUUUGCCAUCACUUUUGUUUUGUGCCCAUAAGACUAGGUUUAAUUUAAGUUAAUUUAUGAUCAUGUCCUUCACAAGAAGUGAAAUGUAUCAUAGCUUUGUUUUAUUAAUCACUGAAUCACUUGAAAAUCCAACAACUUUGAUGACAUAGCUUUGAAGGUUGUACGUUUAUGUGUCUGUUUAUAUCUGUACACAUAACAUUGACAGAUCCUCAAGCCCCAAGCUAGGGAGAUUUUCUUCCUAGAUCCCCUCUGUGGCACUGGGUGGAGAGAUCAAAGUCGCACCAUACCAUUCAGGUUUUUUAGAUCGCCAAUUUUACAAUUCUGGAUAGUGGUAGUUCAGUUCAGACCACUUAUCGAUUUUUUAUUUUUAAAUUGUGGCUCUGUUUUACAUAAACUAAAAUUUUAGAUACUGUACAUAAUUUCCAAUUGGAUGCGUGAAACAGAGGCAUAGUUGCAACUUAUCAGUGGGGCUGUUCUGACCCCAUUAGGCCAUUUUUUUUUUUUUUUUUUAUUACAGCCUGUUGGCUUAUCCUGUUACAACUGUGUUCUAAGCUUUUAUGCAUGUUUAGGAGGGUUAAGAAUAGCAGAAGUAUUGUACUGUUAAAUUGACUUUCCUAUAUACUGUGUUCACAGAAACUUAGCUCAGAUCUUAGCCCCUGGGCCUUGGAAGACUCUUACUGUGGAUGAUCUUCAGGGUGCACCCAGGCAAGGUUUUUCCAACAACUGUGGGGUGUUUGUGUUGAUGGUAAGGAAAUGGCUAUUCAGUAUAUUAUGAAUAUGUCAUA